Molecule: non-coding RNA, 23 nt
Filed under: Arabidopsis thaliana (thale cress)
Lineage: Eukaryota; Viridiplantae; Streptophyta; Magnoliopsida; Brassicales; Brassicaceae
Source: RNAcentral
AGAGAAAGGACCAUCCUACAACA